This 270-nucleotide ribosomal RNA is filed under the name uncultured archaeon. Its description in RNAcentral is "partial 16S ribosomal RNA". It matches the Rfam family "Archaeal small subunit ribosomal RNA", at positions 477 to 747 of the family's 1478-position model. The record is from RNAcentral.
CAGCACCUCAAGUGGUCAGGAUGAUUAUUGGGCCUAAAGCAUCCGUAGCCGGCGCUGUAAGUUUUCGGUUAAAUCUGUACGCUCAACGUACAGGCUGCCGGGAAUACUGCAGCGCUAGGGAGUGGGAGAGGUAGACGGUACUCGGUAGGAAGGGGUAAAAUCCUUUGAUCUAUUGAUGACCACCUGUGGCGAAGGCGGUCUACCAGAACACGUCCGACGUUGAGGGAUGAAAGCUGGGGGAGCAAACCGGAUUAGAUACCCCCGUAGUCC